CCUUCCUGCUGGGAGUGGCAGUGGGGUCUUGUGACUAGCACUUCCUGCCUGCCGGGUGGGACUUGCUUCUGGGUGUUGGAGGAGGAAGGAGCUUGUCAGCCCAGUCUGGUGUGGUGGCCCUCUUUCUUGGGUCAGCCUGAAGAUUCAAGUCCAAUCUCUUCUGAAGCUUUUGGGCCACUGAAGCCACUGACUACAUUGGACCAAUGAGGCAACAUAUAGUUAGAGUACCAGGCCUAGAGACAAUAAAAACAGAAUCAUUCAAAUAUAUCCUCAGACCUUUACUAGCUGUGACCCAAGAGAAAGAAACUGAGGUACAAUCUGAUGAUGAAAUUAGAAGACCAACUCCAAAAAGAUAAAUUACAUAUGGUCUCAGAGUGAAGGCACCAGGAUUAAGGAAGACAGAAGAAAGACUUCUUGCAGAAGAUGGGGCUUUAGCUGAGACUUAAUGGAAGACAAUGAAGCCAGUGGAUGAGGUGAAGAGAGACAGAAUUUCAGUUAUUGUGCAUAGCCCAUAAAAAUGUCAAGAUUCAGAAGGUAGUCUCAAGGAACCACAAAGGGAUUAGUGUCACUGCACUGGAGAACUCUUGGAUGUGAAGGGAUGGAGGAUCAGGAGCCAGGUAAAGUAAUAAGUUUUAAGAAGACUGAAAAGACAUGAACAGGUCAGGUCAUGAUGAACUUUGAACACCGUAGUAUAUUUUUCAUUUUAUCCUGAAGGUAAUACGGAGACACUAUAGUUUAUUGAAUAAGAGGUGAUAUAGAUUUGUGCUUUAGGAAUACCAACAUAACCUACUAAUAAGGAAUGAAUUGGAAUAGGGAUAGACUUGAGGCAGAGAGACCUACCAACAGGUUAUUUGCAAAGAUUCAGAUAGAGUUGUUUGUAGUAACAGAGCAAAGAAGCCAUAUACAAAAGAUGUUGGAGGAGAAGCAAAUAUUUAUUAAGUAACUACUAAGUACCAGGAGGGAAGCUAUGUGGCAUUUGAAGAUAGAAUGUCAGAGAGGGAGUCAGAAAAACUUGUGUUCAAAUCUAGCCUCAGGUAACACUAGGUGGGUUGUGGGUGUGGUGACCCUGGGCAAGUCACUUAAUACUUCCUCAGUUUCCUCAAUGAGCUGGAGAAGAAAAUGGAAAAGUAUUCCAGUAUCCUUGCUAAGAAAACCCCAAAAGAGCUCAUGAAGAGUCAGCUAUCACUGAAAAUGACUUAAAAAAAUGUAACAAAACCUACAGUAAGCACUUCUCAAAUAUUUCAUUUGAUCUUCACAACAACCCUAAUGUUUAGGUAUUAUUAUUAUACUCUCUUUUUGGUUAUUGAAAGUGAGACUAUUGAGAUUGUGACUUGCCCAGAGUCACUAGUAAAAGUCUGGGAAAGAUAUGAACUCAGGACUUCUGGAUACCAGACUUAGCUUUCUAUCCAGGAUGCCACCAAACUGGCCCUAGAAUCCACUGGCUAUCAAAAAUAGAUUGUACAUGGGAGUGAGAGAGAGAAAAGAGUCAAUGAUAAAAACAAAGUACAAACCCAGUGAUGUGAGAUGGUAGAACCCUCAACAAUAAUAGGAAAAUUAGAGAGAAAUGAGAAUUUGAUGGAGAGAAAGAUAAUUAAAUCAUUUCUGAAUAUAUUAAGUUAAGGAUGUCAGAUAUUUAUCCAGUUUGAGGAAGUCAUCAGAUGUCAAAUUAUGUAUUAUUAUUUCAUUGUAAAAUACUCAAUAUAAAUUUAAUACCAGAUUAGAAUGUGGAUUUCACCCUCAUUCAGGGAAACCUAUUAAUGUGAUAGAUGAAUGGAUAAAUAGUGAUAGAUAGAUAGAUA
This is a non-coding RNA of Monodelphis domestica (gray short-tailed opossum), 1799 nucleotides long. The record is from RefSeq and is a predicted model, not a curated record. NCBI's taxonomy places the organism in Eukaryota, Metazoa, Chordata, Mammalia, Didelphimorphia, Didelphidae.